Molecule: long non-coding RNA, 1779 nt
Organism: Ictalurus punctatus (channel catfish)
Lineage: Eukaryota; Metazoa; Chordata; Actinopteri; Siluriformes; Ictaluridae
Source: Ensembl
AGGUCUGCAUGUGGUUUUAAUUUCGAAAGGCUGUGUUCGGUUGUUGGCACGAGGCGAGUGUGGGUAUGCGCUUGGUUUUUCUGUCUGCUCAGUGGGAAAAGAAAAGAAAAGAAGAAGAAAAAAAACCAGGAGGAAAAAACGGUGUUGUCUUAAUGCUUUCACACGUGUAGGCUAGGAACUUUGCGUCCUCUUUCAGUAAGAACUGCACACACGUUAAAACCGUGACGAUUAAAUGAUGAAUCUCACUAAUUAAUGAAGAGUUAGCGGUCCGUUGGACAGUGUUUAGCGCGUGGAGAACACUGAGAAAAGCCUCCACAGACCUCUUGUUUAACAGGAUGAAGUGGAGAUUAGUUGCUCGGGUAGAUCUGGGAGAUUAUCGGUGUUAUUAUUGUAACGGGUAAUUAGUACUCGUGCCUCCUGUGUCCGUUCUUGUUCGCUGCAUGGGAAUUCAUGACGUACACCUCUCAGUUUCUGUAGGUCCCUGCACGCGCGUUGUGUUUGCCCAUCGUUAACGCGGUAGUGGACUUUGUGUUGCUGAUAUCGCAGUAGGUUAUGGGGAGCGCGUGCUGACGUCGUCAUCCUGAACAAUAUUUGAAUGUUUUUAUGAUUGGAGUUUAGACACGCCAACAAACAAAGGACGUUCUCUCGGGUGUAAAAAGCCGAUGGGAGUUUAACCCGGUCAGCACGGCGGAGUGAGCGAUUAGCCGGCGCUCCUGUGAGUAUUGACGUUCCUGUGCAGACUCGUGGCUGACACGGGGGAUGAAUGGACUUUGUCGUUCUGAAAUACUUCACAGGCCGAGCGUUCGCUCUCUGGAUUUUGAGUGAGCGGUGGAUGUUGUGGGAAGCAAACCACUUCUGUCUGAGAAUUCGGAAUAAUGCUCGCUUCAUGAAGGUUGUGUUUUUGUAAAAAGGAGCAAAAAAAAAAAUACUGUUGUCUUUUUAUCUGCCGUUUUUUUUUUUUUUAAGACGACUGAGAAUUUUUACUACUAGAGUUUUUCCGUGCAUUGAUUAGACCACGCGACCGACACGAGUCGUGUUACCGUUUUCCGUUAUUUGGACACGAUGUGCAUAAAUUUCCCGCACGGGCUUUAUGGCCGACGAAAAAGUGCCUCCUCGGAGAAGGUUUACGACCCCAUAAAUCCACGGGAUCAUGGGUAGAGACGUCAUGUUUCUGUUGCAGGACGGGGGAGGGAUUUCUGAGCACUUUAAAAGUCGACGUUGCCGUACUUCCCCCUGAAGUGCUGUGUAAUGUAACUACAGUAUAAAUGUCCGGCAUGCCGAUCACAUGGCGACCGUGACCAAUCAAAUCCGGAACGGAGCUUUGCUCUCCACCCAAAACUCGGAGCAAUCCUUCCCUUCAUGUCAUACACUCCAUCCUACAGAGAGUCAGGGAUGGGAUUCAUGACUCCUCUCGAGUAUUUGUACACUUCACGGUUCAAUCCGAAUCCUGCUGUGAUUAUUCACAUUCCAACACUAUCAGGAUCAUCAGCGUGGGUGCGUUUGAAACUACAUUCCAGUCGAUUGAUGCGUCCACUUCUUUCGUUUCUCUUCUUUCUUCUUUCUUUUUUAAAAUUUUUUUUUUAAACAGAACCCAUACUAACCCAACAGAUAUUAGUAUCUGAACCCUCUUGGUCAGCAGAUGCAAAGAGAAACAGUUAACGCGCUCAUUCUGAUACGUCAUCGAUUCGAUCGUCGGAUUUCAUUGAGGUUUUAUUUAUUUAUUUUAAUUGUUUCCUCUCUCUCUCUCUCUCUCAAAAUUUGCGAUGUAACUUGCUGGAG